Molecule: ribosomal RNA, 310 nt
Filed under: uncultured bacterium
Lineage: Bacteria
Description: partial 16S ribosomal RNA
Rfam family: Bacterial small subunit ribosomal RNA
Source: RNAcentral
AAGAGACAGCAGUCGCCGCGGGAAUACAGAGGGUGCGAGCGUUAAUCGGAUUUACUGGGCGUAAAGCGUGCGUAGGCGGCUUCUUAAGUCGGAUGUGAAAUCCCUGAGCUUAACUUAGGAAUUGCAUUCGAUACUGGGAAGCUAGAGUAUGGGAGAGGAUGGUAGAAUUCCAGGUGUAGCGGUGAAAUGCGUAGAGAUCUGGAGGAAUACCGAUGGCGAAGGCAGCCAUCUGGCCUAAUACUGACGCUGAGGUACGAAAGCAUGGGGAGCAAACAGGAUUAGAUACCCCAGUAGUCCCUGUCUCUUAUAC